Molecule: ribosomal RNA, 470 nt
Filed under: uncultured Methylophaga sp.
Lineage: Bacteria; Pseudomonadati; Pseudomonadota; Gammaproteobacteria; Thiotrichales; Piscirickettsiaceae
Description: bacterial SSU rRNA
Rfam family: Bacterial small subunit ribosomal RNA
Source: RNAcentral
AGUCGAACGAUGACGAAACAGCUUGCUGUUUCUGAUUAGUGGCGGACGGGUGAGUAAUGUAUAGGGAUCUGCCUAGUAGGGGGGGACAACAGCCGGAAACGGCUGCUAAUACCGCAUACGCUCUACGGAGGAAAGCGGGGGCUCGUAAGACCUCGUGCUAUUAGAUGAACCUAUAUCAGAUUAGCUAGUUGGUGGGGUAAGGGCCUACCAAGGCGACGAUCUGUAGCUGGUCUGAGAGGAUGAUCAGCCACACUGGGACUGAGACACGGCCCAAACUCCCACGGGAGGCAGCAGUGGGGAAUAUUGGACAAUGAGCGCAAGCCUGAUCCAGCAAUGCCGCGUGUGUGAAGAAGGCCUUCGGGUUGUAAAGCACUUUCAAUAGGGAGGAAAGGUUAUGCGUUAAUACCGUAUAGCUGUGACGUUACCUAUAGAAGAAGCACCGGCUAACUCCGUGCCAGCAGCCGCGGUAA